UCUGGUCCUCGGUAGUGGUUUUCGGGUGCCGAACACGGUCCCCCGCGAGCCUCGAUCGAAGACCGGC
Molecule: regulatory RNA element, 67 nt
Organism: Tessaracoccus flavus
Lineage: Bacteria; Bacillati; Actinomycetota; Actinomycetes; Propionibacteriales; Propionibacteriaceae
Rfam family: Actino-pnp RNA
Source: Rfam